This 116-nucleotide ribosomal RNA is filed under the name Tursiops truncatus (common bottlenose dolphin). Lineage: Eukaryota; Metazoa; Chordata; Mammalia; Artiodactyla; Delphinidae. The record is from RNAcentral. RNAcentral also lists the same sequence under 5 other names.
ACCAGUAACCCAGGAGUACUGUAUGUGGCCCAUCUCAUCUGAUCUUGGAGGCCAAACAGAAUCGUGCCUGAUUAGUACCUGUAUGGGAGACUACCUGGGAACACAGGGUGCUGGAU